CAGCGGAGGGGGACUGAGUAAGAUGGCCAAAAAUCACAGCCUUGUUAGAUGUAUAAGGAUGGAGGCGUAUGUUCAUAUCAGGUCUGUCAGGCCAGAUGGCACAAGGACCAUGGAGCUGCAGCUCUACCCUGACAGCAGGACUGGCUCACCUGCCGCGGAACCAGGAAACCAGCCCGGAGAGGGAUGCCGCCAAACAGAGUCCCUGCUUGGCCCUGAGGAAUGAUAAACCAGAGAGGAGGUGGAGGGAGCCGGGAAUGGUGGACGCAAGAACAAAGGGCCAUUAAGAGGGUCUGGGUUUCUUACAUUCUGCGACCUCAAGGUUGGCUGCGGAAGAUGUCCCCGGGGCAUAAAGGCUGAAUGGUGGCUGGGCAAAGAGAGAGAUGGUUCACUGGACGAUCUGGAUCAAUGCAACAGCUGCAAUGGGCCUUUCUGCCCAGCUGCAACCUGAACCUUUGCCAAAAAAUGGAGACUCAUGUAUCUGGUCCCAGUGGUCUAUUUCUAAACAUUUUCUACUGAUUAUGGGAUUGUGCCUGUGUAUAGUAAUAAUUUACUGAACUGUAUGCAGAAAAGAAGAAUUUCACUUACCUCGGUUCAUGAGAUAAUAAAGAUUCAUUGAACCAUUAAA
This is a long non-coding RNA of Amblyraja radiata (thorny skate), 625 nucleotides long. RefSeq lists it as uncharacterized. NCBI's taxonomy places the organism in Eukaryota, Metazoa, Chordata, Chondrichthyes, Rajiformes, Rajidae. The record is from RefSeq and is a predicted model, not a curated record. The transcript has 2 exons.